This 651-nucleotide ribosomal RNA is filed under the name Reduviidae sp. 2 CK-2021. RNAcentral describes it as "SSU rRNA". It matches the Rfam family "Eukaryotic small subunit ribosomal RNA", at positions 488 to 1057 of the family's 1831-position model. Lineage: Eukaryota; Metazoa; Arthropoda; Insecta; Hemiptera; Reduviidae. The record is from RNAcentral.
GGACUCUAUUGAGGCCCCGUAAUCGGAAUGAGUACACUUUAAAUCCUUUAACAAGGAUCCAUUGGAGGGCAAGUCUGGUGCCAGCAGCCGCGGUAAUUCCAGCUCCAAUAGCGUAUAUUAAAGUUGUUGCGGUUAAAAAGCUCGUAGUUGGUUCUGCGUGCCACGCUGUCGGUUCGCCGCCUGUCGGUGUAACUGGCAUGUCGUGGCAUGUCCUGUCGGUGGUGAACGGGGUCCCUGGGAGGAUGUAGGCUUUUAGCUGAAAUCUGUACCGUGGUGAAUCCCGUUUGCCGAUCUCUCCUACUCCGGUGCUCUUAAACGAGUGUCGAGGUAGGCCGACACGUUCACUUUGAACAAAUUAGAGUGCUUAAAGCAGGCUAAAAUAUCUGCCUGAAUAGUGGUGCAUGGAAUGAUAAAACAGGACCUCAGUUCUAUUUUGUUGGUUUUAGGAAUAUGAGGUAAUGAUCAAUGUGGACUGGCGGGGGCAUUCGUAUUGCGACGUUAGAGGUGAAAUUCUUGGAUCGUCGCAAGACGCACUAGAGCGAAAGCAUUUGCCAAGUAUGUCUUAAUUGAUCAAGAACGAAAGUUAGAGGUUCGAAGGCGAUCAGAUACCGCCCUAGUUCUAACCAUAAACGAUGCCAGCCAGCGAUCCGC